UUUUACAAUUGUUUCCCACCCAAGAGAGAACGAACCAUUUGAUAAAGUAUCAACGGGCCUGAUUCCCAUUAGUUGAAACAAAAUGGGAAGCAUAGGAACAGAGAACAAGGCAAUGCCUCAAGCAAUCUCCAGUGGGACAAGAAGGACAACUCAAUAGGAAAACCCUAAAGAGAAACCCCAAUUAGAGCUUAAUAUAGCGCAGCUAUGACUCAAAACGCUUCCAUAGUUAUCUGGAAGGCGAUCUUAAGGGCUGCGCUUAUCACAGAAACAAAAAUGAACCCAAAAAUUGUGAGACUCAUAAACAAAAUCACAGAAGAGGAAA
This 322-nucleotide unclassified non-coding RNA is filed under the name Hevea brasiliensis (rubber tree). Lineage: Eukaryota; Viridiplantae; Streptophyta; Magnoliopsida; Malpighiales; Euphorbiaceae. The record is from RNAcentral.